RNAcentral lists this ribosomal RNA (158 nucleotides) under uncultured bacterium. RNAcentral describes it as "partial 16S ribosomal RNA". It matches the Rfam family "Bacterial small subunit ribosomal RNA", at positions 355 to 509 of the family's 1533-position model. The record is from RNAcentral.
UGAGGAAUAUUGGUCAAUGGGCGGGAGCCUGAACCAGCCAAGCCGCGUGAGGGAAGAAGGUACAGCGUAUCGUAAACCUCUUUUGUCAGGGAACAAAGGCGGGGGACUAGUCCCCGGAUGAGGGUACCUGAAGAAAAAGCAUCGGCUAACUCCGUGCC